RNAcentral lists this ribosomal RNA (253 nucleotides) under uncultured bacterium. RNAcentral describes it as "partial 16S ribosomal RNA". It matches the Rfam family "Bacterial small subunit ribosomal RNA", at positions 524 to 776 of the family's 1533-position model. The record is from RNAcentral.
UACGUAGGGUGCGAGCGUUAAUCGGAAUUACUGGGCGUAAAGCGUGCGCAGGCGGUUUUGUAAGCCGGAUGUGAAAUCCCCGGGCUUAACCUGGGAAUGGCAUUCGGGACUGCAAGGCUGGAGUGCGGCAGAGGAGACUGGAAUUCCUGGUGUAGCAGUGAAAUGCGUAGAUAUCAGGAGGAACACCGAUUGCGAAGGCAGCUCGCUGGGACGUAACUGACGCUGAGACGCGAAAGCGUGGGGAGCAAACAGG